RNAcentral lists this ribosomal RNA (271 nucleotides) under Helodrilus cortezi. RNAcentral describes it as "partial 16S ribosomal RNA". It matches the Rfam family "Bacterial large subunit ribosomal RNA", at positions 2481 to 2824 of the family's 2925-position model. The record is from RNAcentral. Lineage: Eukaryota; Metazoa; Annelida; Clitellata; Crassiclitellata; Lumbricidae.
GCUAAUCCCACUAAAGAGUCCUUAUCAAUAGUGGGGGUUGGCACCUCGAUGUUGGCUUAGGGAAACUAUGCGGCGCAAAAGUCGCAUAAAGAUGGUUUGUUCAACCAAUAACUCCCUACAUGAGCUGAGUUCAGACCGGCGUAAGCCAGGUUAGUUUCUAUCCUCGACCACCUUAAUCCCACCCAUAGUACGAAAGGACCUGAGUAGGGGUAAUAAUUACAUAAAAAGAACAAAUAUAAUGAAAUUUAAAAGCAAUUAUUCAUAUACUAUG